UGACGUAGCAUAGCUAGUUGUGAGUAACGCUCAGCAUGCACGAGUCUAUGCGACUGAGCGAAUCGCCACACUGGACUGGAUCCGAUCGAGAUCCUACGAGGCAGCAGUAGAUCUCGCCAAUUGACGACAGUCUGACUGACGCACGGCCGCGUGAGUGAAGAAGUCUCGAUCGUAAACUACGUUGUACGAGGAGGAACAAGGGAUGAGAGUAAAUAUGCUCAUCCAUGACGUAUCUAACCGAGAAAGCCACGCUAACUACGUGCAGCAGCCGCGUAAUACGUAGGUGGCAGCGUGUCUCGGAUUUAUUGGGCGUAAAGCGACGACGCAGGCGGUUCUCAAGUCUGAUGUGAAAGUCCCCCGGGCUCAACCGUGGAAGCGUGCAUUGGAAACUGGGCAGACUUGAGUGCAGAUAGAGGAGAGUGAGAAUUCCAUGUGUAGCGGUGAAAUGCGUAGAUAUAUGGAGGAACACCAGUGGCGAAGGCGGCUCUCUGGUCUGUAACUGACGCUGAGGCUCGAAAGCGUGGGGAGCGAACAGGAUUAGAUACCCUGGUAGUCCACGCCGUAAACGAUGAGUGCUAAGUGUUGGAGGGCCUCCGCCCUUCAGUGCUGCAGCAAACGCAUUAAGCACUCCGCCUGGGGAGUACGACCGCAAGGUUGAAACUCAAAGGAAUUGACGGGGGCCCGCACAAGCGGUGGAGCAUGUGGUUUAAUUCGAAGCAACGCGAAGAACCUUACCAGGUCUUGACAUCCUUUGACCACUCUAGAGAUAGAGCUUCCCCUUCGGGGGCAAAGUGACAGGUGGUGCAUGGUUGUCGUCAGCUCGUGUCGUGAGAUGUUGGGUUAAGUCCCGCAACGAGCGCAACCCUUAUUGUUAGUUGCCAUCAUUUAGUUGGGCACUCUAGCGAGACUGCCGGUGACAAACCGGAGGAAGGUGGGGAUGACGUCAAAUCAUCAUGCCCCUUAUGACGUGGGGUACACACGUGGUACAAUGGGAAGUACAACGAGUUGGGAAGUUGGGAGGAUCAGGUAAUCUUUUAAAGCUUCUUUCAGUUCGGAUUGUAGGUUGCAACUUGCCUACAUGAAGCUGGAAUCGCUAGUAAUCGCGGAUCAGCACGCCGCGGUGAAUACGUUCCCGGGCCUUGUACACACCGCCCGUCACACCACGAGAGUUUGUAACACCAGAAGUCGGUGAGGUAACCUUUUGGAGCCAACUUCCCCAUUUUUUU
Molecule: ribosomal RNA, 1226 nt
Filed under: Enterococcus saigonensis
Lineage: Bacteria; Bacillati; Bacillota; Bacilli; Lactobacillales; Enterococcaceae
Description: bacterial SSU rRNA
Rfam family: Bacterial small subunit ribosomal RNA
Source: RNAcentral